UGCGCAGGCGGCGGUUCGCGUGGAUAGAUGAAAUCUCCUGGCUUACCUGGGAAGGAUGGUAUCCAGACGGGAUCGCUUGAGGGUCGGAGAGGGGCGUGGAAUUCCGGGUGGAGCGGUGAAAUGCGUAGAGAUCCGGAGGAACACCGACGGCGUAGGCAGCGCCCUGGACGACACCUGACGCUGAGGCACGAAAGCUGGGGAGCGAACA
Molecule: ribosomal RNA, 208 nt
Filed under: uncultured bacterium
Lineage: Bacteria
Description: partial 16S ribosomal RNA
Rfam family: Bacterial small subunit ribosomal RNA
Source: RNAcentral